Molecule: non-coding RNA, 106 nt
Filed under: Clostridium colicanis DSM 13634
Lineage: Bacteria; Bacillati; Bacillota; Clostridia; Eubacteriales; Clostridiaceae
Description: Bacterial large subunit ribosomal RNA
Rfam family: Bacterial large subunit ribosomal RNA
Source: Rfam by way of RNAcentral
GAUCAAGUAAAAAAGGGCGCACGGUGGAUGCCCUGGCACUAGGAGCCGAUGAAGGACGUGAUAAGCUGCGAUAAGCUGCGGGUAGAUGCAAAUAAUCUGUGAUCCG